Echinops telfairi (small Madagascar hedgehog) is the source of this 103-nucleotide small nuclear RNA. The record is from RefSeq and is a predicted model, not a curated record. Lineage: Eukaryota; Metazoa; Chordata; Mammalia; Afrosoricida; Tenrecidae.
AUGCUCGCUUCGACAGCACACAUACUAGACUUGGAAUGACAGAAGAUUAGCAUGGCCCCUGAGCAAGAAGGACAUGCAAAUUCGUGAAAGGUUCCAUAUUUUU